AUUGAACGCUGGCGGCAGGCCUAACACAUGCAAGUCGAACGGUAGCACAGAGAGCUUGCUCUCGGGUGACGAGUGGCGGACGGGUGAGUAAUGUCUGGGAAACUGCCCGAUGGAGGGGGAUAACUACUGGAAACGGUAGCUAAUACCGCAUAACGUCUUCGGACCAAAGUGGGGGACCUUCGGGCCUCACACCAUCGGAUGUGCCCAGAUGGGAUUAGCUAGUAGGUGGGGUAAUGGCUCACCUAGGCGACGAUCCCUAGCUGGUCUGAGAGGAUGACCAGCCACACUGGAACUGAGACACGGUCCAGACUCCUACGGGAGGCAGCAGUGGGGAAUAUUGCACAAUGGGCGCAAGCCUGAUGCAGCCAUGCCGCGUGUAUGAAGAAGGCCUUCGGGUUGUAAAGUACUUUCAGCGGGGAGGAAGGCGGUGGAGUUAAUAGCUUCAUCGAUUGACGUUACCCGCAGAAGAAGCACCGGCUAACUCCGUGCCAGCCGCCGCAGUAA
Molecule: ribosomal RNA, 504 nt
Filed under: uncultured bacterium
Lineage: Bacteria
Description: partial 16S ribosomal RNA
Rfam family: Bacterial small subunit ribosomal RNA
Source: RNAcentral